GAAAAAAACAUUUCCCAUCAUAGGAAAGACGCAAUAGCCUCUCGCGUGUUUAAAUGAAACACGCAUCAGCCUCUCGCGUGUUUCAUUUAAACCAUCAGCCCCGGCGGAUUUUAUCAUCCCGCAUCAAAUUUUUUUUUAUUGAUUUCAAGCUUAGGCUACAGCUAAACAAAAAUUAAAAUCUCCGACGCCCAUAAAUCGAAAAAGGGGUAAGUGGAUACAAGAAAUUUGUUGUGAGUUUUAUGUUAUCACGAUCUGCAAUUUUUCUGAAAUAUUAGGAGAAGGAAGUGUGGAAGGGGUUUUACAUCUCAUGCUCUGCAAAUUUACGAUGUUUUAAUUUUGUGAUUUCUGAAAUUUUGGGAGAAACAAGAGAUCAACGGCUGAAAUGUACUGCGGAAUUUCAAUUCGGAUAAAAAAAUCAUGGAGAUGGAACUGCUGGGUUAUGCGUUAUGUUGAUGAAGAAUUGGAUACAGAGGGAAAAGAAAAGGAAUUGAGCAAAAUUGUAGAGAGAAGAAGAAUUAGAUCUGGUGAUGGUUUGUUGAGAGCACCCGCGAGAGGCUGAUGGUUUAAAUGAAACACGCGAGAGGCUGAUGCGUGUUUCAUUUAAACACGCGAGAGGCUAUUGCGUCUUUCCUAUGAUGGGAAAUGUUUUUUUUCCGGGUGCAAAUGGCGGAUAACUUUCCCCGUAACGUCCAUUUGUGGAAUUUAGCCCUCCCACUACUUGAAAACUAAAUCGAUUCUCUCUCCCCAAUCGACCUUUCUCUCUCCAAAUCUCCCCAUCCGACCACCUACCGAUUUCAUUCAUAAAUAUAAACAAACCCUAGUCUGCUGCCGCUCUCUCCAAAUCUCCCCAUCAACGCUUUCUGCUUCUCAUCGUUACUGCUUGCGAUUGCUCCAUCAACGCUUUCUCCAAGUUCGGCGCUUGAAGUUUGCCGCCCAUCGUUACUACCUGCGUCUGCUCCAUUGGUUCGAUUUCUGUUUCAUUAUUGACUGCCUUGUUUAUACAGUUGUUGGAGGAAAGAAUUGUGUGAGCUAUGGACGGAUGUUGAGAAAAGCGAAAACUGAACUCCUUGAAUUCAAGUGGAAAACAAAUGGCACUACCGAAGAUUGUGGUGUGUAUGCUAUGCAAGACAUAUGGAGACGUAUAUGGGGACUAAAGUGCGACCUUACCAACAAGCCAUCCAAGUCAUUCCAGUUGCUCCAUUCGAAAUUCAUUAUAGCUAUGGUUUAUAGUAACAAAAAGAAGGUCGAGGAUUACAUGAUGAGAACAGCAACAAGCCACCUGGAAGAGGCAUGAAAGAAGGGACCCGUUGACAUUGAAAAGAUGGUGGCAGAUUUUCCCAAACUUUGAAUGGUGACUGACAUUGUUUUAGAAAAAUGACAAUUACUUUGUUUUGAUUUGAAUUUGUUCGGAAUAUUGGUUUGUUUUGGUGUACGGAUUGCUUGGUUAUAGAAUUUAGUUUUUCGUUGU
Long non-coding RNA from Salvia splendens (bonfire salvia), 1468 nucleotides. RefSeq lists it as uncharacterized. NCBI's taxonomy places the organism in Eukaryota, Viridiplantae, Streptophyta, Magnoliopsida, Lamiales, Lamiaceae. The record is from RefSeq and is a predicted model, not a curated record. The transcript is spliced from 2 exons.